Sinocyclocheilus grahami is the source of this 434-nucleotide long non-coding RNA. RefSeq lists it as uncharacterized. The record is from RefSeq and is a predicted model, not a curated record. NCBI's taxonomy places the organism in Eukaryota, Metazoa, Chordata, Actinopteri, Cypriniformes, Cyprinidae. The transcript is spliced from 3 exons.
CGUGUCACACAGCGUCCUGAAGUUCAAGAUGCUCACAAAGACCAGUCCGUGUCAUCGAGUAGUAGUACCUCAAUAACUGAAUGUCCGACAAAAAAAACUUAGGUCCAGGACGGGCCUGCCAGUAGCUUGUGCAGGUCCUGUGCUUCCUGCCUUGUGCAUCAUUUGUAAGAAAACGGACAAGUACAUUACUGUGGCAGGCAAACGCCAGAAGGACCAUCUUUCACAGGUAGAAACAUUGUCAGCAGGCCAGUUGCUGAAAGCUGCUGAGAUGAAAGAAGACACUAGCAUUCUUGUGCAUAUUCAAGACAAAGACUGUGUGUCUCUGGAGGUGCGAUACCACAAGUCCUGUUACAGACAGUACACCAGGUUCUUGACAAAGUCUACUGCAACAGUUACUGGGACCUCAGAAGAACAAAAUGAGCCAACCUUCGAUG